This 490-nucleotide ribosomal RNA is filed under the name Penicillium sp. PE114. Its description in RNAcentral is "eukaryotic LSU rRNA". The stretch from base 111 to 264 matches the Rfam family "5.8S ribosomal RNA". The record is from RNAcentral. Lineage: Eukaryota; Fungi; Ascomycota; Eurotiomycetes; Eurotiales; Aspergillaceae.
CCACCCGUGUUGCCCGAACCUAUGUUGCCUCGGCGGGCCCCGCGCCCGCCGACGGCCCCCCUGAACGCUGUCUGAAGUUGCAGUCUGAGACCUAUAACGAAAUUAGUUAAAACUUUCAACAACGGAUCUCUUGGUUCCGGCAUCGAUGAAGAACGCAGCGAAAUGCGAUAACUAAUGUGAAUUGCAGAAUUCAGUGAAUCAUCGAGUCUUUGAACGCACAUUGCGCCCUCUGGUAUUCCGGAGGGCAUGCCUGUCCGAGCGUCAUUGCUGCCCUCAAGCCCGGCUUGUGUGUUGGGCCCCGUCCCCCCCGCCGGGGGGACGGGCCCGAAAGGCAGCGGCGGCACCGCGUCCGGUCCUCGAGCGUAUGGGGCUUCGUCACCCGCUCUAGUAGGCCCGGCCGGCGCCAGCCGACCCCCAACCUUUAAUUAUCUCAGGUUGACCUCGGAUCAGGUAGGGAUACCCGCUGAACUUAAGCAUAUCAAAAACGGGA